AACCGCAUGAAAUCAGGCUUUUUCUCUGUGAAUAGAAAGUUAAGGAAAUGUUAAUACUCGAAUUUUCUAAAUAUUUGGCCAACAUGAAGAAGUUUCAUUGACAGGGGAGUAAAGGGGAUGAUAUAUUCGAAAUGCAGUAGGGAAAUGUUAGCAGUUAUUUGAUAACGAAGGGAAUGUUUUGCAUGCAAGGUAAAGUAAAAUGGUUUAACGCAGAAAAAGGCUAUGGCUUCAUCGAGCGCGAAGACGGCGGCGACGUAUUCGUACACUUCUCCGCGAUUCAAACAGAAGGCUUCAAGACUUUGGAAGAAGGCCAGUCUGUUGAAUUCGACAUCGUAGAAGGCGCUCGCGGUCCUCAAGCGGCUAACGUAAUCAAGCUGUAAUCAUCCGGCCGCUUGGCCGCUGAAUAGAUGGUUAUCAUUGAUAUGAAUUAGCAGCAAAAGGCACCCCCGGUACUCCGGCGGUGUCUUUU
RNAcentral lists this non-coding RNA (469 nucleotides) under Paenibacillus mucilaginosus 3016. RNAcentral describes it as "cspA thermoregulator". The stretch from base 1 to 419 matches the Rfam family "cspA thermoregulator", at positions 100 to 428 of the family's 428-position model. Lineage: Bacteria; Bacillati; Bacillota; Bacilli; Caryophanales; Paenibacillaceae. The record is from Rfam by way of RNAcentral.